This 1166-nucleotide ribosomal RNA is filed under the name Escherichia coli. Its description in RNAcentral is "partial 23S ribosomal RNA". It matches the Rfam family "Bacterial large subunit ribosomal RNA", at positions 223 to 1427 of the family's 2925-position model. Lineage: Bacteria; Pseudomonadati; Pseudomonadota; Gammaproteobacteria; Enterobacterales; Enterobacteriaceae. The record is from RNAcentral.
AAUCAACCGAGAUUCCCCCAGUAGCGGCGAGCGAACGGGGAGCAGCCCAGAGCCUGAAUCAGUAUGUGUGUUAGUGGAAGCGUCUGGAAAGGCGCGCGAUACAGGGUGACAGCCCCGUACACAAAAAUGCACAUGCUGUGAGCUCGAUGAGUAGGGCGGGACACGUGGUAUCCUGUCUGAAUAUGGGGGGACCAUCCUCCAAGGCUAAAUACUCCUGACUGACCGAUAGUGAACCAGUACCGUGAGGGAAAGGCGAAAAGAACCCCGGCGAGGGGAGUGAAAAAGAACCUGAAACCGUGUACGUACAAGCAGUGGGAGCACGCUUAGGCGUGUGACUGCGUACCUUUUGUAUAAUGGGUCAGCGACUUAUAUUCUGUAGCAAGGUUAACCGAAUAGGGGAGCCGAAGGGAAACCGAGUCUUAACUGGGCGUUAAGUUGCAGGGUAUAGACCCGAAACCCGGUGAUCUAGCCAUGGGCAGGUUGAAGGUUGGGUAACACUAACUGGAGGACCGAACCGACUAAUGUUGAAAAAUUAGCGGAUGACUUGUGGCUGGGGGUGAAAGGCCAAUCAAACCGGGAGAUAGCUGGUUCUCCCCGAAAGCUAUUUAGGUAGCGCCUCGUGAAUUCAUCUCCGGGGGUAGAGCACUGUUUCGGCAAGGGGGUCAUCCCGACUUACCAACCCGAUGCAAACUGCGAAUACCGGAGAAUGUUAUCACGGGAGACACACGGCGGGUGCUAACGUCCGUCGUGAAGAGGGAAACAACCCAGACCGCCAGCUAAGGUCCCAAAGUCAUGGUUAAGUGGGAAACGAUGUGGGAAGGCCCAGACAGCCAGGAUGUUGGCUUAGAAGCAGCCAUCAUUUAAAGAAAGCGUAAUAGCUCACUGGUCGAGUCGGCCUGCGCGGAAGAUGUAACGGGGCUAAACCAUGCACCGAAGCUGCGGCAGCGACGCUGAUGCGUUGUUGGGUAGGGGAGCGUUCUGUAAGCCUGCGAAGGUGUGCUGUGAGGCAUGCUGGAGGUAUCAGAAGUGCGAAUGCUGACAUAAGUAACGAUAAAGCGGGUGAAAAGCCCGCUCGCCGGAAGACCAAGGGUUCCUGUCCAACGUUAAUCGGGGCAGGGUGAGUCGACCCCUAAGGCGAGGCCGAAAGGCGUAGUCGAUGGGAAACA